Molecule: transfer RNA, 71 nt
Filed under: Candidatus Portnoybacteria bacterium RIFCSPLOWO2_02_FULL_39_11
Lineage: Bacteria; Candidatus Portnoyibacteriota
Also listed under: 1 other name
Description: tRNA-Gln
Rfam family: tRNA
About the family: Transfer RNA (tRNA) molecules are approximately 80 nucleotides in length. Their secondary structure includes four short double-helical elements and three loops (D, anti-codon, and T loops). Further hydrogen bonds mediate the characteristic L-shaped molecular structure. tRNAs have two regions of fundamental functional importance: the anti-codon, which is responsible for specific mRNA codon recognition, and the 3' end, to which the tRNAs corresponding amino acid is attached (by aminoacyl-tRNA synthetases). tRNAs cope with the degeneracy of the genetic code in two manners: having more than one tRNA (with a specific anti-codon) for a particular amino acid; and 'wobble' base-pairing, i.e. permitting non-standard base-pairing at the 3rd anti-codon position.
Source: RNAcentral
UCCGGGAUCGUCUAAUGGUAGGACACAUGCCUCUGGAGCAUGGAAUCAUGGUUCGAAUCCAUGUCCCGGAA